UCGGAACUUGGAAAAAGGAACCCAGGACACGACUUUGCUUUUCUUUUGGACCUAGUUGCAACUUUUAAAAGCAUUUCCAUUGCACAGUGAAAGAAAACCACAAACUCCUUGUUUAAUAACUCGGAUCAUGUGCUUUUAACGAGAGGAAAAGGUCAAGUCUGAAGCAACUGAUAUGGAACUGCCAGAGUAGGAGUUGAAAAUAUUCCUAAACUGCUGGAGGAUACACCUCUGAUAGCUUGAGACAAAUAUCCUCUUGAUUAUUGUUUCACCAUAUUUGUCUUUGCUCACAGAGAACCAUUUUGACCUGUGGUUUAGCCUCCCAGGUGAUUGAACAAUAGCGGUGAUCUGAGGCAGACCCUCUGUGACGGAUAACAGAAAAGAAAAUUGAGGAUCAGAAAGUACACACAAUUUGCAAAAAUCAUGGGAAAGAAUAUUGAUUGAACAUCUACUCAAGAACUGCAAAACAGAGAUUACCUGACCUAAAGAUGAAUCCAGGAUUCGGUGGUGCCUGUUCCAGGAACCUUUAGUGUGAAGGAUCCUCCAGGUGAGAGAAGCCUUUAUGUCUUCUGAAACGGUUUUGCUGUGUCCCCACCCAAAUCUUAUAUUGUAUUGAAGCUCCCAUAAUUCCCGAGUGCUGUGGGAGGGACCCAGCGGGAGAUAAUUGAAUCAUGGGGGCAGUUUUCCCCAUACUGUUCUUGUGGUAGUGAUAAGUCUCACCAGAUCUGAUGAUUUUAUAAGAGGUUUCCCCUUUUACUUGGCUCU
Molecule: small RNA, 762 nt
Filed under: Pongo abelii (Sumatran orangutan)
Lineage: Eukaryota; Metazoa; Chordata; Mammalia; Primates; Hominidae
Description: retained intron
Source: RNAcentral